GAAAUGCGAUAAGUAAUGUGAAUUGCAGAAUUCAGUGAAUCAUCGAAUCUUUGAACGCACAUUGCGCCCGUCAGCAUUCUGGCGGGCAUGCCUGUUCGAGCGUCAUUUCAACCCUCAGGACCCCCCUUUCGCGGGGAGGGACCUGGCGUUGGGGAUCGGCCCGCCCCCCGCGGCGGCGCCGUCCCCGAAAUCUAGUGGCGGUCUCGCUGCAGCCUCCCCUGCGUAGUAGUUACAACCUCGCAUCGGAGCGCGGCGCGGCCACGCCGUAAAACCCCCGACUUUCUGAACGUUGGCCUCGGAUCAGGUAGGAAUACCCGCUGAACUUAAGC
Molecule: unclassified non-coding RNA, 329 nt
Filed under: plant metagenome
Description: partial contains 5.8S ribosomal RNA, internal transcribed spacer 2, and large subunit ribosomal RNA
Rfam family: 5.8S ribosomal RNA (bases 1-105)
Source: RNAcentral